RNAcentral lists this ribosomal RNA (988 nucleotides) under Custingophora olivacea. RNAcentral's name for it is "SSU rRNA". It matches the Rfam family "Eukaryotic small subunit ribosomal RNA", at positions 116 to 1116 of the family's 1831-position model. Lineage: Eukaryota; Fungi; Ascomycota; Sordariomycetes; Microascales; Gondwanamycetaceae. The record is from RNAcentral.
UUUAUUUGAUAGCACCUUACUACUUGGAUAACCGUGGUAAUUCUAGAGCUAAUACAUGCUAAAAAUCCCGACUUCGGAAGGGAUGUAUUUAUUAGAUUAAAAGCCAAUGCCCCUCGGGGCUCCUUGGUGAUUCAUGAUAACUUCUCGAAUCGCAUGGCCUUGCGCCGGCGAUGGUUCAUUCAAAUUUCUUCCCUAUCAACUUUCGAUGCGAAGGUCUUGUCUUCGCAUGGUUACAACGGGUAACGGAGGGUUAGGGCUCGACCCCGGAGAAGGAGCCUGAGAAACGGCUACUACAUCUAAGGAAGGCAGCAGGCGCGCAAAUUACCCAAUCCCGACUCGGGGAGGUAGUGACAAUAAAUACUGAUACAGGGCUCUUUGGGUCUUGUAAUCGGAAUGAGUACAAUUUAAAUCUCUUAACGAGGAACAAUUGGAGGGCAAGUCUGGUGCCAGCAGCCGCGGUAAUUCCAGCUCCAAUAGCGUAUAUUAAAGUUGUUGUGGUUAAAAAGCUCGUAGUUGAACCUUGGGCCUGGCUGGCCGGUCCCCCUCACCGGGUGCACUGGUCCGGCCGGGUCUUUCCCUCUGUGGAACUGCAUGCCCUUUACUGGGCGUGUAGGGAAACAGGACUUUUACUUUGAAAAAAUUAGAGUGCUCCAGGCAGGCCUAUGCUCGAAUACUUCAGCAUGGAAUAAUAGAAUAGGACGUGUGGUUCUAUUUUGUUGGUUUCUAGGACCGCCGUAAUGAUUAAUAGGGACAGUCGGGGGCAUCAGUAUUCAAUUGUCAGAGGUGAAAUUCUUGGAUCUAUUGAAGACUAACUACUGCGAAAGCAUUUGCCAAGGAUGUUUUCAUUGAUAAGGAACGAAAGUUAGGGGAUCGAAGACGAUCAGAUACCGUCGUAGUCUUAACUAUAAACUAUGCCGACUAGGGAUCGGACGAUGUUGUCAUUUGACUCGUUCGGCACCUUUCGAGAAAUCAAAGUGCUUGGGCUCCU